This 369-nucleotide ribosomal RNA is filed under the name uncultured bacterium. RNAcentral describes it as "bacterial SSU rRNA". It matches the Rfam family "Bacterial small subunit ribosomal RNA", at positions 527 to 896 of the family's 1533-position model. The record is from RNAcentral.
GUAGGGUGCAAGCGUUAAUCGGAAUUACUGGGCGUAAAGCGUGCGCAGGCGGUUUUGUAAGACAGUGGUGAAAUCCCCGGGCUCAACCUGGGAACUGCCAUUGUGACUGCAAGGCUAGAGUACGGCAGAGGGGGAUGGAAUUCCGCGUGUAGCAGUGAAAUGCGUAGAUAUGCGGAGGAACACCGAUGGCGAAGGCAAUCCCCUGGGCCUGUACUGACGCUCAUGCACGAAAGCGUGGGGAGCAAACAGGAUUAGAUACCCUGGUAGUCCACGCCCUAAACGAUGUCAACUGGUUGUUGGGUCUUAACUGACUCAGUAACGAAGCUAACGCGUGAAGUUGACCGCCUGGGGAGUACGGCCGCAAGGUUG